UGGGGAAUAUUGCACAAUGGGCGCAAGCCUGAUGCAGCCAUGCCGCGUGUAUGAAGAAGGCCUUCGGGUUGUAAAGUACUUUCAGUCGGGAGGAAGGUGGUAAGGUUAAUAACCUUAUCAAUUGACGUUACCGACAGAAGAAGCACCGGCUAACUCCGUGCCAGCAGCCGCGGUAACACGGAGGGUGCAAGCGUUAAUCGGAAUUACUGGGCGUAAAGCGCACGCAGGCGGUUUGUUAAGUCAGAUGUGAAAUCCCCGGGCUCAACCUGGGAACUGCAUCUGAUACUGGCAAGCUUGAGUCUCGUAGAGGGGGGUAGAAUUCCAGGUGUAGCGGUGAAAUGCGUAGAGAUCUGGAGGAAUACCGGUGGCGAAGGCGGCCCCCUGGACGAAGACUGACGCUCAGGUGCGAAAGCGUGGGGAGCAAACAGG
RNAcentral lists this ribosomal RNA (429 nucleotides) under Chloroflexota bacterium. RNAcentral's name for it is "Chloroflexi bacterium partial 16S ribosomal RNA". It matches the Rfam family "Bacterial small subunit ribosomal RNA", at positions 355 to 776 of the family's 1533-position model. The record is from RNAcentral. Lineage: Bacteria; Bacillati; Chloroflexota.